Molecule: long non-coding RNA, 1918 nt
Organism: Piliocolobus tephrosceles (Ugandan red Colobus)
Lineage: Eukaryota; Metazoa; Chordata; Mammalia; Primates; Cercopithecidae
Source: Ensembl
AGGAGAAACUCUGGGGAGAUGCGGAAUUCUCAAUACUGAGCCCCCCCACCCCAGACGCCGCCUCGGGGCCUGAGCCCUUGAGAGCCACUCCUGGGGCCCUGGGACUUUGCCCUCACCCUCCUCCUACUGUGCAGGGUGUAUCUCAAUGUCUCCCCGAGUCUUCGCCCGGGGACUGAGAAACCAGUGAGAAACCGUCGGCAUGGACUGAGUCCAUCUCCCUUCAGUUCUCAUUCCGAAAUCUCCGUCCCUUGACGGAACUUUCUGCCUCCCACUCCAUACCUGGACUCCCCUGGACUCUUUUGGAAGAAAACUCACCCCAAGGAGCUUGGUGCCAGAGAAUGAACUUGUCCUGAGAAUGAAGGAUGCCGACUCCUGCGUCCUUCUCAACCUGGGCAUCGUGCCACCACCUUUAAGAAGAGAAAAACUAAGUAGUGCUUUGCGAAGGGGCAGCAGCAUUUCUCACUUCUGACCACAUCAGGCGCACGGCCAUGCAGAUGAGCAGGUGGGGGACACAGAGAGGCUGUGAACACCCUAUCUCACCUACCUCAGAAGGACAGUACAGCAGUAGCCACCAUGACCAAGAAAGAUGAUUCCAGAAGUGCAGGACAACUCCCCACCCAGAUGCGGUGGCUGUGUAGUUACACACCAAGAGCUACUACUGUUGGCUGGCUGGAAAAAAAUAGAACAAUAGUAAAAAUUGGAGACAAGUCUUUGGUGAUGAAAAGAAAUAUUGGCUACUUCCAGUAUUUUCUAGCUUUGGUUAUGGUUGCAGUUUUCCAGCUCACCUUGUGGGGAUGAAUUCAGAAAAAAACUUCUGUUACAAAUUGAAAGGAACAUUCCAGAAGUAUUGGCUCAAAUCAGCCUUGCCCUAUUAAGCCACUUAGUGAAUCAAAAGACUGCUUGUUGGACUGUUAAUCUCGGUGGCCAGAGAAAGGAGCUGAAGAAGGUGUUGUCAGAUCAGGAACAAAUAAUUACAGCGGCAAUAGAAAAUGGAAGGCCACUUGUUCAUAACCAUUUGAAUAAGGGCAAGGUAUAUGGAAACACAUUAUGAACUGAUAUUUUCAGUUUUGUUUGCAAGAAAAUAGGCCAGGCGCGGUGGCUCACGCCUGUAAUCCCAGCACUUUGGGAGGCUGAGGCGGGUGGAUCUCAAGGUCAAGAGUUCGAGGCCAGCCAGGCCAAGAUGGUGAAACACCAUCGCUACUAAAAAUGGAAAAAUUAGCCAGGCACGGUGGUAGGUGCCUGUAAUGCCAGCUACUCAGGAGGCUGAGGCAGGAGAAUCGCUUGAACCAGGGAGGCAGAGCUUGCACUGAGCCGAGAAUGUGCCACUGCACUCUAGCCUGGGUGACAGAGCAAGACUCCAUCUCAAAAAAAAAAGAAAAGAAAAGAAAGAAAAUGAUUAAUGGGGUAAAAUAAUUGAAGUAUCACAGAAGAUACACUAAAAAAAAAGAAAGAAAGAAAAAAGCCUUUGUAUAGUUUGCUGGAGCCACAGAAGCCGUACUCCAGAGCAGAACGAUGCCUGAAUCUUCAGGGUCCAUUUGUGCCGCAUUCACUAGCAGCCACAAACGUGACUUAAUUUUACUUUGGAAAUAAUGCUUACCUAUUGUGAGAGGCUGUAAUAUGAACCAUCAUUACAUGUUAACAUGGCACAUGGAAUUUUGAGUGCCUGAGUUACAUUUUUAGAGUUGUUUGUUAGUAGCCAUGUGAGUUUCCACUCCAAAAACACAAGCUAACAACUUGUUUUAAGUGAAGGACAUCUAGGGCAAAUGGUGGCUGAAGGUGAGUAAGAUCCCAAUUACUCUUGCUUGUACUGUCUAAGGAAAAGAAAAUAACUGCUUUUCUUGUUGGGUGUUUGCUAAUUUAUAAUUACUGUUUUAUGCUUUUCAACAUUUUUAAUAAAGAUUUUUUAUUGUUGGCUACA